AAGUCGUAACAAGGUUUCCGUAGGUGAACCUGCGGAAGGAUCAUUACUGAGUGAGGGUCCCUCGGGGCCCAACCUCCCACCCGUGUAUACCGUACCUUGUUGCUUCGGCGAGCCCGCCCCCUUCUCGUUAGGGGGGCACAGCGCUCGCCGGAGACACCAACGUGAACACUGUCUGAAGUUUUGUCGUCUGAGUCGAUUGUAUCGCAAUCAGUUAAAACUUUCAACAAUGGAUCUCUUGGUUCCG
RNAcentral lists this unclassified non-coding RNA (244 nucleotides) under Aspergillus melleus. RNAcentral's name for it is "partial internal transcribed spacer region". The stretch from base 1 to 46 matches the Rfam family "Eukaryotic small subunit ribosomal RNA", at positions 1786 to 1831 of the family's 1831-position model. Lineage: Eukaryota; Fungi; Ascomycota; Eurotiomycetes; Eurotiales; Aspergillaceae. The record is from RNAcentral.